UACGGAGGGGGCAAGCGUUGUUCGGAUUUAUUGGGCGUAAAGAGCUCGUAGGCGGUUUAGCAAGUCGGGUGUGAAAACUCCGGGCUCAACUCGGAGAGGCCACUCGAUACUGCUAUGACUCGAGUCCGGUAGGGGAGUGCGGAAUUCCUGGUGUAGCGGUGAAAUGCGCAGAUAUCAGGAGGUACACCGGUGGCGAAGGCGGCACUCUGGGCCGGUACUGACGCUGAGGAGCGAAAGCGAGGGGAGCGAACCGG
RNAcentral lists this unclassified non-coding RNA (254 nucleotides) under uncultured Acidimicrobiia bacterium. RNAcentral describes it as "contains 16S-23S intergenic spacer region". It matches the Rfam family "Bacterial small subunit ribosomal RNA", at positions 524 to 776 of the family's 1533-position model. The record is from RNAcentral. Lineage: Bacteria; Bacillati; Actinomycetota; Acidimicrobiia.